Molecule: long non-coding RNA, 284 nt
Organism: Sardina pilchardus (European sardine)
Lineage: Eukaryota; Metazoa; Chordata; Actinopteri; Clupeiformes; Clupeidae
Exons: 3
Source: RefSeq, a predicted model, not a curated record
AACUUGACACAACUGAAGACCAAUAGCACAAAGGAAGAUGAGGAGUCUAUUUGGAAACCCAUCUGUGACAUAUGUUCGAAAGACCUGUGCACAGAACCCACCAAAACAGACUCCUCCUGCUCUGGUGGCACAUGCAAAAACAUCAUCUGCAAAUGCAAGCUCUCUAAAGAAGACACAAAGGGCACCUGCCAUCGACGAUACACUUGUGAACGUCACAAACCAUCCACCAGCACGGACUACACAACUGAUAUGUGCAACAGCCCCCCCAAGAAAAAUUGGACGAC